This 324-nucleotide ribosomal RNA is filed under the name uncultured bacterium. RNAcentral describes it as "bacterial SSU rRNA". It matches the Rfam family "Bacterial small subunit ribosomal RNA", at positions 28 to 334 of the family's 1533-position model. The record is from RNAcentral.
GAUGAACGCUGGCGGCGUGCUUAACACAUGCAAGUCGAACGAGAAUCAACGGAUUGAGGAUUCGUCCAAAUGAAGUUGAGGAAAGUGGCGGACGGGUGAGUAACGCGUGAGGAACCUGCCUCGGAGUGGGGAAUAACAGUUGGAAACAGCUGCUAAUACCGCAUAAUGCAACGGAAUCGCAUGACUCUGUUGCCAAAAGAUUUAUCGCUCUGAGAUGGCCUCGCGUCUGAUUAGCUAGUUGGCGGGGUAACGGCCCACCAAGGCGACGAUCAGUAGCCGGACUGAGAGGUUGGCCGGCCACAUUGGGACUGAGACACGGCCCAG